UCAGGUAGGACUACCCGCUGAACUUAAGCAUAUCAAUAAGCGGAGGAAAAGAAACCAACAGGGAUUACCUUAGUAACGGCGAGUGAAGCGGUAAGAGCUCAAAUUUGAAAUCUGGCACUUUCAGUGUCCGAGUUGUAAUUUGAAGAAGGUAACUUUGGGAUUGGCUCUUGUCUAUGUUCCUUGGAACAGGACGUCACAGAGGGUGAGAAUCCCGUGCGAUGAGAUGCCCAAUCCUUUGUAAAGUGCUUUCGAAGAGUCGAGUUGUUUGGGAAUGCAGCUCUAAGUGGGUGGUAAAUUCCAUCUAA
RNAcentral lists this ribosomal RNA (305 nucleotides) under Attheya septentrionalis. RNAcentral describes it as "partial Eukaryotic large subunit ribosomal RNA". It matches the Rfam family "Eukaryotic large subunit ribosomal RNA", at positions 11 to 313 of the family's 3401-position model. Lineage: Eukaryota; Bacillariophyta; Biddulphiophyceae; Attheyales; Attheyaceae. The record is from RNAcentral.